UACGUAGGGUGCGAGCGUUAAUCGGAAUUACUGGGCGUAAAGCGUGCGCAGGCGGUUUUGUAAGCCAGAUGUGAAAUCCCCGGGCUUAACCUGGGAAUGGCAUUUGGGACUGCAAGGCUGGAGUGUGGCAGAGGAGACUGGAAUUCCUGGUGUAGCAGUGAAAUGCGUAGAUAUCAGGAGGAAUACCGAUGGCGAAGGCAGGUCCCUGGGCUGACACUGACGCUCAUGCACGAAAGCGUGGGGAGCAAACAGG
Molecule: ribosomal RNA, 253 nt
Filed under: uncultured bacterium
Lineage: Bacteria
Description: partial 16S ribosomal RNA
Rfam family: Bacterial small subunit ribosomal RNA
Source: RNAcentral